Molecule: ribosomal RNA, 253 nt
Filed under: uncultured bacterium
Lineage: Bacteria
Description: partial 16S ribosomal RNA
Rfam family: Bacterial small subunit ribosomal RNA
Source: RNAcentral
GACGAGUCUCACGAACGUUAUUCGGAAUUACUGGGCUUAAAGGGUGCGUAGGCGGUGGAGUAAGUCGGAUGUGAAAUACCUUAGCUUAACUAGGGAACUGCACUCGAUACUACUUUGCUAGAGUAAGACAGAGGUGAGUGGAACUGAGGGUGGAGCGGUGAAAUGCGUUGAUAUCCUCAGGAACACCGGUGGCGAAGGCGGUUCUCUGGGCAUGUUCUGACGCUGAGGAGCGAAAGUGUGGGGAGCGAACAGG